AUUGAACGCUGGCGGCAUGCUUUACACAUGCAAGUCGAACGGCAGCGCGGGCUUCGGCCUGGCGGCGAGUGGCGAACGGGUGAGUAAUGCAUCGGAACGUGCCCAGUCGUGGGGGAUAGCCCGGCGAAAGCCGGAUUAAUACCGCAUACGACCUUAGGGCGAAAGCGGGGGACCGAAAGGCCUCGCGCUAUUGGAGCGGCCGAUGUCGGCUUAGCUAGUUGGCGGGGUAAAGGCUUACCAAGGCGACGAUCAGUAGCUGGUCUGAGAGGACGACCAGCCACACGGGGAGUGAGACACGGCCCAGACUCCUACGGGAGGCAACAGUGGGGAAUUUUGGACGAUGGGGGCAACCCUGAUCCAGCCAUGCCGCGGGAGGGAAGAAGGCCUUCGGGUUGUAAACCGCUUUUGUUCGGGAAGAAGUCCUCUGGGCUAAUACCCCGGGGGGAUGACGGUACCGGAAGAAUAAGCACCGGCUAACUACGUG
This 484-nucleotide ribosomal RNA is filed under the name uncultured bacterium. Its description in RNAcentral is "partial 16S ribosomal RNA". It matches the Rfam family "Bacterial small subunit ribosomal RNA", at positions 28 to 507 of the family's 1533-position model. The record is from RNAcentral.